This 490-nucleotide ribosomal RNA is filed under the name uncultured bacterium. Its description in RNAcentral is "partial 16S ribosomal RNA". It matches the Rfam family "Bacterial small subunit ribosomal RNA", at positions 30 to 507 of the family's 1533-position model. The record is from RNAcentral.
AUUGAACGCUGGCGGCAGGCCUAACACAUGCAAGUCGAACGGUAACAGGAAGCAGCUUGCUGCUUCGCUGACGAGUGGCGGACGGGUGAGUAAUGUCUGGGAAACUGCCUGAUGUAGGGUGAUAACUACUGGAAACGGUAGCUAAUACCGCAUAACGUCGCAAGACCAAAGAGGGGGACCUUAGGGCCUCUUGCCAUCGGAUGUGCCCAGAUGGGAUUAGCUAGUAGGUGGGGUAACGGCUCACCUAGGCGACGAUCCCUAGAUGGUCUGAGGGGAUGACCAGCCACACUGGAACUGAGACACGGUCCAGACUACUACGGGAGGCAGCAGUGGGGAAUAUUGCACAAUGGGCGCAAGCCUGAUGCAGCCAUGCCGCGUGUAUGAAGAAGGCCUUCGGGUUGUAAAGUACUUUCAGCGGGGAGGAAGGGAGUAAAGUUAAUACCUUUGCUCAUUGACGUUACCCGCAGAAGAAGCACCGGCUAACUCCGUG